GACGAACGCUGGCGGCGUGCUUAACACAUGCCAGUCGAACGGAAAGGCCCUGCUUUUGUGGGGUGCUCGAGUGGCGAACGGGUGAGUAACACGUGAGUAACCUGCCCUUGACUUUGGGAUAACUUCAGGAAACUGGGGCUAAUACAGGAUAGGAGCUCCUGCUGCAUGGUGGGGGUUGGAAAGUUUCGGCGGGUGGGGAUGGACUCGCGGCUUAUGAGCUUGUUGGUGGGGUAGUGGCUUACCAAGGCUUUGACGGGUAGCCGGCCUGGGAGGGUGACCGGCCACAUUGGGACUGAGAUACGGACCAGACUGCUACGGGAGGCAACAGGGGGGAAUAUUGCACAAUGGGCGGAAGCCUGAUGCAGCAACGCCGCGUGCGGGAUGACGGCCUGCGGGUUGUAAACCGCUUUCGCCUGUGACGAAGCGUGAGUGACGGUAAUGGGUAAAGAAGCACCGGCUAACUACGUG
RNAcentral lists this ribosomal RNA (468 nucleotides) under uncultured bacterium. Its description in RNAcentral is "partial 16S ribosomal RNA". It matches the Rfam family "Bacterial small subunit ribosomal RNA", at positions 28 to 507 of the family's 1533-position model. The record is from RNAcentral.